UACGUAGGGGGCUAGCGUUGUCCGGAUUUAUUGGGCGUAAAGAGCGUGUAGGCGGCCAGGUAGGUCUGGUGUGAAAACUCGAGGCUUAACCUUGAGAUGUCAUCGGAUACCAUUUGGCUAGAGUCCGGAAGAGGAAAGUGGAAUUCCUGGUGUAGCGGUGAAAUGCGUAGAUAUUGGGAGGAACACCAGUGGCGAAGGCGGCUCACUGGACCGGUACUGACGCUGAUGCGCGAAAGCGUGGGGAGCAAACGGG
This 253-nucleotide ribosomal RNA is filed under the name uncultured bacterium. RNAcentral describes it as "partial 16S ribosomal RNA". It matches the Rfam family "Bacterial small subunit ribosomal RNA", at positions 524 to 776 of the family's 1533-position model. The record is from RNAcentral.